UACGUAGGGGGCUAGCGUUGCUCGGAAUCACUGGGCGUAAAGGGUGCGUAGGCGGGUCUUUAAGUCAGGGGUGAAAUCCUGGAGCUCAACUCCAGAACUGCCUUUGAUACUGAGGAUCUUGAGUUCGGGAGAGGUGAGUGGAACUGCGAGUGUAGAGGUGAAAUUCGUAGAUAUUCGCAAAAACACCAGUGGCGAAGGCGGCUCACUGGCCCGAUACUGACGCUGAGGCACGAAAGCGUGGGGAGCAAACAGG
Molecule: ribosomal RNA, 253 nt
Filed under: uncultured bacterium
Lineage: Bacteria
Description: partial 16S ribosomal RNA
Rfam family: Bacterial small subunit ribosomal RNA
Source: RNAcentral